CAAGCAGGGUGGAAGUAGCCCAGGGCAGGGCAAGGAGCCGGCGCACCAGUGGGUUGAGGGUCAUUACCCCUCCAGUGGGACAGGUCCUUGGGAGUCUGUCCUUAGGGCCCUGAGCUUGGGUCCGGGAGAGAGGGUGGGCCCGGACCCCCCUCCCCACACUUCCGUGGCUGUAAAAGCACCGACAUGGAGAAAGGGGACUGUGACUUGGAGACAAAAGGGGAAAGAAAGGAGGGGGAGCAUGGUGAACCCCCACACCAAGGAACAAAUAUGUUCAGUUACUGGUGAGUGGAAGCUGCUGAACUGAAAUAGCACAGGAAGAAGCAAUUCUUGUGAUAUCCAUAAUUGAAAGGAAGAGGAGAGAACUGGAAAGGAUGAGGACAGCAGGUCACAGUUUAUAUAUGGAUCAGGAAUUGAAGCUGCCUCCAUCAGAAGAAAAAAAGAUUCAUAAGGAUUACUGUCUGCUUCUCUUUACAAGGGACACAUUAUGAAAAGG
Pelodiscus sinensis (Chinese soft-shelled turtle) is the source of this 493-nucleotide non-coding RNA. NCBI's taxonomy places the organism in Eukaryota, Metazoa, Chordata, Testudines, Trionychidae. The record is from RefSeq and is a predicted model, not a curated record.